AGAUUGAACGCUGGCGGCAUGCCUUACACAUGCAAGUCGAACGGUAACAGGCCGCAAGGUGCUGACGAGUGGCGAACGGGUGAGUAAUGCAUCGGAACGUGCCCAGUCGUGGGGGAUAACGCAGCGAAAGCUGUGCUAAUACCGCAUACGAUCUAUGGAUGAAAGCGGGGGACCGAAAGGCCUCGCGCGAUUGGAGCGGCCGAUGUCAGAUUAGCUAGUUGGUGGGGUAAAGGCCCACCAAGGCGACGAUCUGUAGCUGGUCUGAGAGGACGACCAGCCACACUGGAACUGAGACACGGUCCAGACUCCUACGGGAGCAGCGAGUGGGGAAUUUGGACUAAGUGGGCG
RNAcentral lists this ribosomal RNA (348 nucleotides) under uncultured soil bacterium. Its description in RNAcentral is "bacterial SSU rRNA". It matches the Rfam family "Bacterial small subunit ribosomal RNA", at positions 26 to 377 of the family's 1533-position model. The record is from RNAcentral.